Molecule: small RNA, 329 nt
Filed under: uncultured bacterium
Lineage: Bacteria
Description: bacterial SSU rRNA
Rfam family: Bacterial small subunit ribosomal RNA
Source: RNAcentral
UAACACAUGCAAGUCGAGCGCGAAAGGGGGGGCAACCCCCCGAGUAGAGCGGUUCACGGGUGAGUAACGCGUGGGUGACCUACCUCCGGGCGGGGGAUAACUACUCGAAAGGGUGGCUAAUACCGCAUGAGACCACGGGGUUCACGGACCCUGAGGCCAAAGGCGGCGUCGGCUUGCCGGCGCUGUCACCUGGAAAUGGGCCCGCGUCCGAUUAGCUUGUUGGCGGGGUAACGGCCCACCAAGGCGACGAUCGGUAGCUGGUCUGAAAGGAUGACCAGCCACACUGGAACUGGAACACGGUCCAGACUCCUACCGGAGGCAGCAGUGGG